Long non-coding RNA from Perca fluviatilis (European perch), 1071 nucleotides. RefSeq lists it as uncharacterized. The record is from RefSeq and is a predicted model, not a curated record. NCBI's taxonomy places the organism in Eukaryota, Metazoa, Chordata, Actinopteri, Perciformes, Percidae. The transcript is spliced from 4 exons.
CGGACUUUUCACUCUUAAAAAUACUGGGUUAUUUUAUUGACCCAACCACUGGGUUGAGGCUGUUUAACCCUGUAUUAUGUAUAUUCAACCCAUAUUGGGUUACUUUCAGUAACCCAGUAGUUGGGUUACUGGUUUUGGACUGUGCCUUGAUCUGAAUAACCCAACCAAUGGUCAUUUUAACCCAGUGGUUGGGUUACAUUCAAGUUUGGGAUCCUCCUCCAACGGUCUUUUUCUUUUCCUCCGAGGCGGGAGAACACUUUUGGAAACACUGAAGCGGUUGAAUAUGGAGGACUUUGUUAAACUAAAGUUAACAGAACGGCAACUUCUUGAGCUGAUUGACACUUUUGCAGAUUGUGCAGGACUUCGAGGUUCUUCAUAAAGAGGCAUCAGACUAAAUCUUUGACCUGGAGGAGGUUCAGCGAGAAGCUUGCUCAUGCGGCCCAGUGGGAGGGGUAGAAGCUCCACGUGCAGACAGAGUCUUUGUCUCAAGUUAGAAAUUAUAACAUCAACAUAACCCUUAGAUUUGUAUAUUUGGAUUUGUGCAUUAUUCGAGCCAUAAGCUACUCUAUGAUAAUAGAUAAAUAAACUAUGAUAAUACUUAUGUCAAACUAUUUUCUUUCUUUACAGGCUCCAAAGACUACAUUGCCCUGAUGGUUCUGCCAAGCCUGAUUCCACCUGCAGUCUUCAGAAAGGGCCGAAAGACCGUGAGGACUACAGUGUCUGACGCCAUGAAGGCCUUCAUCGAUCUUAAGCCUGUCGGAGCCAACAUGGUGGAGUACCUUCAGGCAGCAGAGCAGACCAGGCCAUACCCCUGCACCCUGGUGUUGGGAGGCGAGGACUGCUGCUCUCAGGCAUUCACCGUUCUCAGUGAGCCGGCCCUGGAGCACGACAGCGUUGUCCAAGCUGUACAUGUUUGUGUCAAAUGUUUUUAUGUGUUUGAUAUCAAUUUCCCAAAGCAGUGUUUCUCUGCUUAGCAGUUCCUCCAGAAAGAAUGGGGGGGUGGUAGUUUGUUUUUUGGAAAUGCUCAUGCGAUAAGGGAAUUCUCUCUCUCUCUGUCUCUCUUUCUCUCUC